CCUCCCUUCCUUCCUUCCUUCUUUCUUUGAGAGUCUCACUCUGUUGCCCAAGCUGGAGUGCAGUGGUGCUAUCGCAGCUCACUAUGGUCUUGAAUUUCUGUGUUCAAGUGAUCCUCCCACGUAGCUGGGACUACAGGUGUGCACUACGACGCCCAGCUAAUUUUUAAAUCGUUACUAGAGAUGGGGGUCUCACUAUGUUGCCCAGCCUGGUCUUGAACUCCUAGGCUCAAGCAAUCCCCUCACCUAGGCCUCCCAAAGUGCUGGGAUUACAGGUGUGAGCCACUACGCCCAGCCUAACUUUUUGGAAAACUAUACCCAAGCCACUAGUUUUUCAAGGUUAGUUAUUACCUUCAAAUGACGCUUAACUGACAUUUCUGACCAUCUAAAUGAACUUAAUUGAAAAAAAAAAAAAAAUCAAGGGCUGUAUGAAUUGACUCUCCAAAAACUUAACUACUCAUAGCAUACUGGUUGACUGAAAGCCUUACUGGUAACAGUUGAACACGUAUUUUGUAUAUGUAUUACAUACCAUAUUAUUACAAUAAAGUAAGCUAGAGGAAAGAAAAUGUUAUGAAGAAAAUCAUAAGGAAGAUAAAAUUAAUGAAUUUACUAUUUAUUAAGUGGAAGCGGAUCACCAUAAAGGUCUUCAUCCUUAUCAUCUUCCCAUUGAGUAGAUGGAGGGUUGGUCCUGCUGUCUCAGUAAUGGCAGAGCCAGAAGCAAACUCACAUACAGGUGGACAUGUGCAGUUCAGCCCUGUGUUGUUCAAGGGUCAGCUGUACAGUCAAGGUUAUCCUUCUCUAAAUUACAUGGAGAUGACGUUUUAUCAAGGCUUUUCUCAUCUGUUCAAUUCUCACCUUCUCAGCAUGAAAACAGAAUGCCCAGCAGGUGGUCCUCAUGACCCCUCAAAGAGAGGUUCCCCCAAGCAAUCAUGAUUCAAAUAUUUUCAUCUUAAGUAGCUUGAACGUUAGCCUUGUCACCCAGGUGAAUUUAGUCUCAUGAUUAGGUAACUAUGUAUUUCAUAUGUUCAUAGUCUAUCUUGAGCUUUAAAAGAGAUUUAUGGCAUCAUAUUCACAGCUACGAAGGUUCAUAAUUUUGGGGCCACUUCUACAGUCAUUUCAUACAAUUUAUUUGUGAAAUAUAGAAAAAAACUAUUCAAUAAUCAAAUCCAGUUAUUUUUCUUUUACAUUUAUUUAAAAUGAUUAAAAAUAGUUUAUGACAGUUUUAGAAAAUGGAAUGGAUUAAAGGCUAAAAAUGUUUAGAUUCCAUUUAAGUAGGGGUGUGUGUGUGUGUGUGUGUGUGCAUGUGUGUAUGCGUGUGUGUAUGUGUGGCUGCACCCACCCUCCUGGGGAACAGAAGCAGAACAGCCCAGCACAGACAGGUUCUCAGAAGACCAGGCACCAGCACACAGCACCCUACUCACCAAAGACUCCAGGUAGAAGGCCCAGGGCAGAGUGCAAGCGGGAGCCCUAGAAAGAUGACCCCUCCC
RNAcentral lists this long non-coding RNA (1484 nucleotides) under Homo sapiens (human). Its description in RNAcentral is "HSALNT0406854". The record is from RNAcentral. Lineage: Eukaryota; Metazoa; Chordata; Mammalia; Primates; Hominidae.